ACUGAGACAGACCAGCUACGGGCGCAGCAGUCGCGAACUUGCAAUACACGAAAGUGUGACAGGGCUAUCCCGAGUGCCAUCCGCUGAGGAAGGCUUUUACCCAGUCUAGAAAGCUGGGGGAAUAAGGAGAGGGCAAGUCUGGUGUCAGCCGCCGCGGUAAUACCAGCUCUCCGAGUGGUGUGGAUGUUUAUUGGGCCUAAAGCAUCCGUAGCUGGCUAAGUUAGUCCCUUGUUAAAUCCACCGAAUUAAUCGUUGGAUUGCGGGGGAUACUGCUUAGCUAGGGGACGAGAGAGGCAGACGGUAUUUCCGGGGUAGGGGUGAAAUCCUAUAAUCCCGGGAAAGACCACCAAGUGGCGAAAGGCUGUUCUGCUAGAACGCGC
This 380-nucleotide ribosomal RNA is filed under the name uncultured crenarchaeote. RNAcentral's name for it is "bacterial SSU rRNA". It matches the Rfam family "Archaeal small subunit ribosomal RNA", at positions 302 to 690 of the family's 1478-position model. Lineage: Archaea; Thermoproteati; Thermoproteota. The record is from RNAcentral.